This 460-nucleotide ribosomal RNA is filed under the name uncultured bacterium. Its description in RNAcentral is "partial 16S ribosomal RNA". It matches the Rfam family "Bacterial small subunit ribosomal RNA", at positions 338 to 795 of the family's 1533-position model. The record is from RNAcentral.
CCUACGGGAGGCAGCAGUGAGGAAUAUUGGUCAAUGGGCGCGAGCCUGAACCAGCCAAGUAGCGUGAAGGAUGACUGCCCUACGGUUUGUAAACUUCUUUUAUAAAGGAAUAAAGUGCGGCACGUGUGCCUUUUUGUAUGUACUUUAUGAAUAAGGAUCGGCUAACUCCGUGCCAGCAGCCGCGGUAAUACGGAGGAUCCGAGCGUUAUCCGGAUUUAUUGGGUUUAAAGUGAGCGUAGAUGGGUUGUUAAGUCAGUUGUGAAAGUUUGCGGCUCAACCGCAAAAUUGCAAUUGAUACUGGCAGUCUAGAGUACAGUUGAGGUAGGCGGAAUGCGUGGUGUAGCGGUGAAAUGCUUAGAUAUCACGAAGAACUCCGAUUGCGAAGGCAGCUUACUGAACGGCCACUGACAUUGAUGCUCGAAAGUGUGGGUAUCAAACAGGAUUAGAUACCCUAGUAGUC